RNAcentral lists this ribosomal RNA (1332 nucleotides) under Triticum aestivum (bread wheat). RNAcentral describes it as "partial small subunit ribosomal RNA". Lineage: Eukaryota; Viridiplantae; Streptophyta; Magnoliopsida; Poales; Poaceae. The record is from RNAcentral.
AUGGCGUCGUCGUCGUCGUCGACGUCGCGCGUGUCGACGGCGCGGCGGCCGCUGCGGUGUCUCCCCGCGGGGCGCGCCGCCAAUGGAGCCGCGGCGGCGGCGGUGCUGGGGCUGCCGAGGAGGGAGGCGCGGGUGACUCUGCGGGCGGGCGCUCGGCGGAGCAUCGCGGCCGCGGCGUGGGCGGAGGCGGGUGUCGCGCCGUGGAGCAGGGGGAGCGGCAGGGGGAAGGAGGCGGCGACGGCGUGCGCGGCGGCGGGCCAGGUGGCGGGGACGAGCGCCGCCGGGGCCGGGGUGGGGGGCAGGAGCAUCGGGACGGACGUGGCCCUCGCCACGGCCGCCGUGGUCGCCACGGGCACGGCGAACCGCGUCCUCUACAAGCUCGCCCUCGUGCCGCUCCGCCAGUACCCCUUCUUCCUCGCGCAGUUCGCCACGUUCGGCUAUGUGGUUGUCUACUUCUCAAUCCUGUUUUUUCGUUAUCAAGCUGGCCAUGUGACGGAUGAGAUGCUUUCUCUACCACAGAAACCUUUUAUACUCAUAGGCCUCUUGGAGGCUCUAGCAGCAGCAGCAGGGAUGUCUGCUGGAGCUAUUCUUUCUGGUGCUUCAAUACCAAUAUUAUCACAGACCUAUCUUGUAUGGCAGCUUGUUUUGUCUGCUAUUUUCCUAAAGAGGCGCUAUAGACUUAAUGAGAUAACAGGAUGCUUUCUAGUGACAGUUGGUGUGGUAAUAACUGUAGCAAGUGGAACUGGUGCUGGUGCUUCACUACAAAGUACUGGAAUUUUGUGGCCACUGCUAAUGAUAAUAUCAUUCUUUCUGCAAGCUGCUGACACUGUAUUGAAGGAGAUAAUAUUUAUAGAUGCUGCCAAGAAUUUGAAGGGUGGCUCAGUUGAUCUUUUUGUUGUCAACUCGUAUGGCUCUGCUUAUCAAGCUAUUUUUAUGUGUCUCUUGCUUCCAUUCUUGUCAAAGUUAUGGGGUAUUCCAUUCCAUCUACUACCAACAUACAUCAGAGAUGGUGCAGCCUGCUUUCUAAAUAUGGGAUCAUUAUCUGCUGGCUGUGAAGGGGCACCACUGCUACCGCUACUAUUUGUGUUGGUUAAUAUGGGAUUCAAUAUAUCUUUGCUACACCUGCUGAAGAUUUCUUCGGCUGUUGCAUCUUGUCUAGCCUCUACAUUCUCAGUCCCGCUGUCGAUCUACGCUUUCACCCUACCGCUGCCGUACAUCGGUGUGGCGUCGACCCUCCCUCCUGGCUUUGUUGCAGGCGCUGCAGUUCUCAUCGCCGGCUUACUAAUGCAUGGCCUUCCGCAGCCAGAAAAUUGCGGGGAAAGCCAGGAAUGA